UACGUAGGUGGCAAGCGUUGUCCGGAUUUACUGGGCGUAAAGAGCGCGCAGGCGGUCGUUCAAGUCGCGUGUGAAAGCCCCCGGCUCAACUGGGGAGGGUCACGCGAUACUGAUCGACUCGAAGGCAGGAGAGGGUAGUGGAAUUCCCGGUGUAGUGGUGAAAUGCGUAGAUAUCGGGAGGAACACCAGUGGCGAAGGCGACUCACUGGCCCGGUACUGACGCUGAGGCGCGAAAGCGUGGGGAGCAAACAGG
RNAcentral lists this ribosomal RNA (253 nucleotides) under uncultured bacterium. RNAcentral describes it as "partial 16S ribosomal RNA". It matches the Rfam family "Bacterial small subunit ribosomal RNA", at positions 524 to 776 of the family's 1533-position model. The record is from RNAcentral.